This 114-nucleotide ribosomal RNA is filed under the name Castor canadensis (American beaver). The record is from RNAcentral. Lineage: Eukaryota; Metazoa; Chordata; Mammalia; Rodentia; Castoridae.
GUCUAUGGCCAUAUUGCCCUGAAUGUGCCCAACCUCAUCUGAUCUUGGAAACUAAGUGGGGUCGGCCUGGUUAGUACUUGGGUGGGAGAACUGGACCACUGGGAGGGCAUGACU